RNAcentral lists this ribosomal RNA (879 nucleotides) under Prevotella melaninogenica. Its description in RNAcentral is "bacterial SSU rRNA". It matches the Rfam family "Bacterial small subunit ribosomal RNA", at positions 28 to 873 of the family's 1533-position model. Lineage: Bacteria; Pseudomonadati; Bacteroidota; Bacteroidia; Bacteroidales; Prevotellaceae. The record is from RNAcentral.
GAUGAACGCUAGCUACAGGCUUAACACAUGCAAGUCGAGGGGAAACGGCAUUAAGUGCUUGCACUUUUUGGACGUCGACCGGCGCACGGGUGAGUAACGCGUAUCCAACCUUCCCAUGACUAAGGGAUAACCUGCCGAAAGGCAGACUAAUACCUUAUGGUCUUCACUGACGGCAUCAGAUGUGAAGUAAAGAUUUAUCGGUUAUGGAUGGGGAUGCGUCUGAUUAGUUAGUUGGCGGGGUAACGGCCCACCAAGGCAACGAUCAGUAGGGGUUCUGAGAGGAAGGUCCCCCACAUUGGAACUGAGACACGGUCCAAACUCCUACGGGAGGCAGCAGUGAGGAAUAUUGGUCAAUGGGCGAGAGCCUGAACCAGCCAAGUAGCGUGCAGGACGACGGCCCUAUGGGUUGUAAACUGCUUUUGUAUGGGGAUAAAGUCAAUCACGUGUGAUUGUUUGCAGGUACCAUACGAAUAAGGACCGGCUAAUUCCGUGCCAGCAGCCGCGGUAAUACGGAAGGUCCGGGCGUUAUCCGGAUUUAUUGGGUUUAAAGGGAGCGUAGGCUGGAGAUUAAGUGUGUUGUGAAAUGUAGACGCUCAACGUCUGACUUGCAGCGCAUACUGGUUUCCUUGAGUACGCACAACGUUGGCGGAAUUCGUCGUGUAGCGGUGAAAUGCUUAGAUAUGACGAAGAACUCCGAUUGCGAAGGCAGCUGACGGGAGCGCAACUGACGCUGAACUCGAAGGUGCGGGUAUCGAACAGGAUUAUAUACCCUGGUAGUCCAAGGACGAAUUCACAGGGAUAUCAAGCUUAUCGAUACCUUCAACGCGGUGGUGUUGACACAGUAACAAUUUGGGUCCUUUAUGAGGGUUAAGUAGGGGG